Cornus florida is the source of this 2035-nucleotide long non-coding RNA. RefSeq lists it as uncharacterized. Lineage: Eukaryota; Viridiplantae; Streptophyta; Magnoliopsida; Cornales; Cornaceae. The record is from RefSeq and is a predicted model, not a curated record. The transcript is spliced from 4 exons.
UUUACCAUUUGUUUCUCUAACUUUACCUAUCUCAUCCGACAUUACAAACCCUAGGUUUCUCUUCAGCCUCCGCAAUCGCCUCCAUCUCUAUUCUCAUUCUAAACUUUGAAGUUGCUCUCUUUUUGUCCUUAUAACUACAAACUACAAAAUCUACAAGAAUCUGUCUGCACAAUGAUUUCAGCCUCCCCAAUCGCCUCCAUCUCUAUUCUCGUUCUCAACUUUGAACUUGCCCUUUCUCUCUCUCCCUCCAACUGCAAGCCACAAAAUCUACAAGAAUCAGAAGUUCAAAACCCAUAUAUUUCAGUUGUUCUACCUGUCUGCAAGAAUCAAAAGUUCAAAACCCAUAUCGACAUAUCAUUUCAAGAUUGUUCAAAAAAUCAAAACACAUAUCUUUCCGUUUCCAUCACCUGCUGUUCCAGAUUGGGUUCGCCGUUCGUAAGCUUUAGCCGCUGGUCCGUUGUCUCUCAACUCUCAAGCUUGCCCCCCUCUCUCUCUGCAACUGCUAACUUGUGACUCAAAGGAGACUUUCUAUAUCAUUCCUUUGGAAAAGAAUACUGUAAUGACCCGGUCAUUUCCUUCCAUUCUUUUUUCCUCAGAAUUUUACGGAUGAAUUUUUUUCAUUGAAAUUUCUUUUCUGAGUUUAGUUUCUCUUCACUUAGUGUCAUCUCGAGUGCUCGGAAAUGGUUUCUGAGACUCUUUCCUUUGGAUUGACAACUUCCUUUAAGGACCGAAUUAUUUCCAUAUUUUUUGUUUUUCGACGCUAUUCACUUUUUGUCUUUUUCUCGUUUGUCACUUUAUUGGCACAACAUCACUUUUCGUGUUCGAAUUUGAUUCUGAUUUUUGCAUGCAUCCACGAUAUUUAAAUUCCACGCCAUAUGUAUUUUUACUUUCUUAGAAAAGUAUGCUAAGUAUUUACUUUUCUUAUAAAGGGUAUGGAUGCAUAACUUUUUUAUAAUAUUCUUAACUUGUGAGGUUUUAGUGUAAUUACAUAAAGUAAUUAUUUUUCAUCUUAGGGACCAUUUUGUAAUUUAAUUUAGAAGAUAUUUUAGAAAAUGACCUUUUUAUAAUUUUUGGAAAGUGUGACAAGUGUCACACUCCUAUUAAACCACUUGUUGACAUUUUGGUAGAACCACUUAGAAGCUUAAUCUCUUGACAUAUGGAGGGAGGAGAUUCACCCAUUUGUUGGCCUAGGAUUGGACCACUUGUUGGCUUGGAUGAGUGACAAGUGUAUGUUCCAAAUUAAGUCUUACAAUUAUUUUUGGGCCACUUUGGGAUUAUGGUUUUAAAGAAGGAUUUUUGUGCAAUUGACUAUAGAUGUGUGCGUUGACUAUGGUGUAGGAUCACAUAGUGAGUAGAGGAUUUCUAUUUCCUCCACUCACACUUCUUCACAUUAUGUCAUUAUAUUCCUCACCACAAACCCUUGCCACCAUUAGAGAAGCUUGAUGCUUAGGCCUUGACUUUGAUUUUUGAGAACCUUCCAUUGAUUUUCAAGCGUAACCUUGGGAAUACUUUUUGUUCCCCUCAUCCUCCUCUACAUAACCCUUGAAGGGUUUGCCAUUUUGUGUUGAUUUGCCUAGGAUUCAAGACGAACAAUCCUCUUGUGAGGUUUGCAACUUCUAAAUGAUGUCAAUUUUGCUCCCUCGGGGCUGCUGGACAAAGCUUAGUCUCUUUACUUGCUCUGGAUUUGAUCUUGGAUGAAGACUUCUUUGAGAAACUGGACGGGGGAUUUCAAUCCACCAUCUGCAUUUCUUCGGUUAAUACACUAUCCAGAAAAACAUAAAAGAUCUUCAAGCGAGUUGUUGAAGUUGAAGAUGAAGCUAGAAAAAAGAAGGUUUGAAGAUAGGGUCGUGGUUGUGCUUUUUGAAUUUCCUUGGCCGAGAUGGGUUCUUUUGAGGAAACUUGUGGUUGUGUUCACUACUUUUGCGAAAAAUUCUUUUCAUUGUGUAUACUUCUUUUGUAAAAACUUGGAGUUUACUAUAGCUUUAUCUAUUAGUAGACAAUUUGGAUGGUAUUUUCAUAUUGGUAAGUUAACUUA